GUCCUCUUGAUGAUAUUUUGAGGUCUGGCCUGCUCACUGACAAGGUUUUGAAGAGCCGCGGUAUUUUGACCGUGCAAAGGUAGCAUAAUCAUUAGUCUCUUAAUUAGGGGCUGGAAUGAAUGGCUUGACGAGAAAUCAACUGUCUCUUAAUAAUUUUUAAAAUUUAACUUUUGAGUUAAAAGGCUUAAAUUUUUCUUUAGGACGAGAAGACCCUAUAGAGCUUAACAUUUUAUUUUUAUAUAGUUUUUAGUUGAUCUUUCUAUAUUUAAUGAUAAUGUUUUGUUGGGGUGACAUGAAGAAUAAUUAAACUCUUCAUUAUAAAAUCAUUGAUUUAUGUUUAUCAUGAUCCAUAAUUUAUGAUCAUAAGAUUAAGUUACCUUAGGGAUAACAGCGUAAUUGUUUUCGAGAGCUCAUAUCGACAAAGCAGAUUGCGACCUCGAUGUUGGAUUAAGAAAAAUUUUGGGUGCAGGAGCCCAAUAAUUAGGUCUGUUCGACCUUUAAAUUCUUACA
This 510-nucleotide ribosomal RNA is filed under the name Calliptamus barbarus. RNAcentral describes it as "partial large subunit ribosomal RNA". It matches the Rfam family "Bacterial large subunit ribosomal RNA", at positions 1830 to 2600 of the family's 2925-position model. Lineage: Eukaryota; Metazoa; Arthropoda; Insecta; Orthoptera; Acrididae. The record is from RNAcentral.